GCCGGGCAUUGUGGCGGGUGCCUGUAGUCCCAGUUACUUGAGAGGAAGAGGCAGGAGAAUCGCUUGAGCCCAGGAGUUGGAGGUGCUGUGAGCUGUGAUGCCACGGCACUCUACCCAGGGCGACAGCUUGAGGCUCUGUCUCAAAAAAAAAAAAAAAUUGUAUGAUGUAAUAGAAUUUAUAUAUAUAUGUAUAUAUAUGUAUAUAUAUAUAUUUUUUUUGAGCUAGAGCCUCAAGCUAUUCCCCUGGGUAGAAUGCCGUGGCAACACAGCUCACAGCAACCUCCAACUCCUGGGCUCAAGCGAGUUUCCUGCCUCAC
Molecule: non-coding RNA, 317 nt
Organism: Otolemur garnettii (small-eared galago)
Lineage: Eukaryota; Metazoa; Chordata; Mammalia; Primates; Galagidae
Source: Rfam